Quercus lobata is the source of this 1227-nucleotide long non-coding RNA. RefSeq lists it as uncharacterized. The transcript has 2 exons. NCBI's taxonomy places the organism in Eukaryota, Viridiplantae, Streptophyta, Magnoliopsida, Fagales, Fagaceae. The record is from RefSeq and is a predicted model, not a curated record.
GAGUUACCUAUAAAUAAAGGCUUCUCUUAUGAGAAAAUGAGGACACUUAGAGAGAAAACACUACCGACACUCUGCCAAAAUAGAGAGUCAUCUCUAAAGUUCACAAGAAUUCCAUUGUUCAUCAAAGCCUAUUCCUACUUCUUCAAAUCAAAGUGGGGAUUCUCCUUUAACCUAGUUCGAGAUCAAGCCAACAGCCCUCGCAUCAAAUCAAGCACGUUCGACUAUUCAUUCAACUUGGAGACAUCACAUCACAAUUCAAGAUCAAGCUUCAUAGCCCCUUCGGAUCGUAACGUUUCUUGGAGAUCGAAUCAGAGGAAUUUAUUGUAUUCUUUCAUUAUAAAGAUUCAUACAGAGGAUUGUACUCACAUAUAUACAAAUCAAUAUAAAUUGAUAAUUGGUUACACUAUUUCGUGAUCGUGUGAUUUAUCUUUUACGAAAAUUGUGUGUACAGUACAUUUUUUUUUUCAACUUUUUGAAGAUAGAGUUGUUUAAAAUAAAAAUAAAAAAAAAGGAAAGAAAAUGAAAAACACUCUCUCCUCUUGGUUGAUUGAAGACCACAAUAGAAAAGAGAAAUGAGGUAGAAAUGUUGUCAGUGGUGUGGGCCAGCAGGUCCAUAUAUGAUCAUGCCUAAAUAAGCCCAUGGACCGAUAUGCAAACGCAAAGGGCCAAAGGCCCACAACUUCUCCAUAUUGUUGUGUAGUGUGUACCAUGUCAAAUUCUCAUUCUGUCGCGUUAUUGGGUAAGUAUUGCUUUGCUUCAGCUCUGGAAGCAGCAUAAACCUAUCCUAUUCCUUGACUGUAUAGCAACAAGGCACUUUCAAGGCUGCAACUCAUGAAUCCCAAAAAGAAAAAGAAAAAAGGGAAGCAACCAGUAUUAACCAUCAAGUGGAAUAUGUGUUUUGAAAAUGAAUUUAUUUUCAUCAGUAAUUAUAACUUAUAAGCGAAUUAUUUGUAAAGAGGGUAAGGAAAUAAGGAUCUUUAUCAUCUCACAGAUAUGUAUAUAUAUUAAAAUGGUUUAUUCAGGAAUGGAAAUAAAGGACUUUUACAUUGAUAAACACAAUUAUUUUGAACCAUACUUAUACAAGUAGAGAAUACCAAGAUACAAAUCACGGAACAAACGUGUUCAUUUUAUAGUUCAGAUAUUUUUUUCUUGGAUUUAAAAGUGUAUAUUAAAAUUUUAAAUGAUCGUGAUUCUCGAUACACUUUUAAAAUCAUAAAAAUAUUUAAU